RNAcentral lists this long non-coding RNA (212 nucleotides) under Elaeis guineensis (African oil palm). RNAcentral's name for it is "long non-coding RNA (EGUI_LNC081158)". Lineage: Eukaryota; Viridiplantae; Streptophyta; Magnoliopsida; Arecales; Arecaceae. The record is from RNAcentral.
CCGAGAUGCGAUCCAGAGUCUGCACCCGAAGCUCGACCUGAGCAGCGUCGUCCCUCCAGGGUCGGAGGACCAAGCCAUAGAGGGGGAUUUCGAUGCCCUGCCGGAGGAUCCGACAGCUGCAGAGGAGGCCGACCCUGGGCCGGUGGAGGUGGCUCCGACCUCUGGUCCCACUCCGACCCGAGCGGGCACACUGGUUGCUCCCGAACUAUCCC